RNAcentral lists this ribosomal RNA (524 nucleotides) under Diutina rugosa. RNAcentral describes it as "eukaryotic LSU rRNA". It matches the Rfam family "Eukaryotic large subunit ribosomal RNA", at positions 71 to 598 of the family's 3401-position model. Lineage: Eukaryota; Fungi; Ascomycota; Pichiomycetes; Serinales; Debaryomycetaceae. The record is from RNAcentral.
GGGAUUCCCUUAGUAACGGCGAGUGAACCGGGAAAAGCUCAAAUUUGAAAUCUGCCAACAGGCCGAGUUGUAAUUUGUAGAUGGCUACACUGCAUAAUAGUAGAUGCUCAAGUUCUUUGGAAAAAGACAUCAUGGAGGGUGACAAUCCCGUGAGGCAUGUUACUAGGAGCAUAUAGUGGGCUUUCUAAGAGUCGAGUUGUUUGGGAAUGCAGCUCAAAGUGCGUGGUGAAUACCAUGUAAAGCUAAAUAUGGACGAGAGACCGAUAGCGAACAAGUACUGUGAAGGAAAGAUGAAAAGCACUCCGAAAGGAGAGUGAAAUAGUACGUGAAAUUGUUAAAGUGGAAGGGCUUGAGAUCAGAAUUGGUAGUUUGGGUUCCACGUCCUCUUGGGGGCGUGUACUCCCUUUCCACCGGGCCAGCGGGAGUUUCGUCUCUUGGGUAAAAGCAGUGGAAUGUAGCAGCUUGUCUGUAUUAUAGCCUCUGUUCAUACAAGACGUCGAGACUUGAUUUGUUGGCGUAAUGAU